GCAUAGUUUUGGAGUGAGCCCUGAAGGGAGAAACUUUGGGUAGAAGCAAUCGUAAACCAUUGCCAUCAUGUGUGGUUGGUGUCAUUCGAAGAAAAUAUCCCUCAGAGACUGGUGUCUAUGUUGGAUUUCAAGAGGCGGAGGAGGCAAUUGAAAUGUUGUAACCAAGUUCCAUCCUUUGACCUCUUACAAGACACCAGAGCUGUAUUUUAUCUUGAAAAUGUGUAUCUUGAUUUGUUUUAUUUACUGUAAUAUUUUAUACUUCAAAUACAUUAUUGCAACAUCUA
This is a non-coding RNA of Misgurnus anguillicaudatus (oriental weatherfish), 284 nucleotides long. NCBI's taxonomy places the organism in Eukaryota, Metazoa, Chordata, Actinopteri, Cypriniformes, Cobitidae. The record is from RefSeq and is a predicted model, not a curated record.